AGUGAACGCUGGCGGUAGGCCUAACACAUGCAAGUCGAACGGCAGCACAGUAAGAGCUUGCUCUUCGGGUGGCGAGUGGCGGACGGGUGAGGAAUACAUCGGAAUCUACUUUUUCGUGGGGGAUAACGUAGGGAAACUUACGCUAAUACCGCAUACGACCUACGGGUGAAAGCAGGGGAUCUUCGGACCUUGCGCGAUUGAAUGAGCCGAUUUCGGAUUAGCUAGUUGGCGGGGUAAGGGCCCACCAAGGCGACGAUCCGUAGCUGGUCUGAGAGGAUGAUAAGCGACACUGGAACUGAGACACGGGCCAGACUCCUACGGGAGGCAGCAGUGGGGAAUAUUGGACAAUGGGCGCAAGCCUGAUCCAGCCAUACCGCGUGGGUGAAGAAGGCCUUCGGGUUGUAAAGCCCUUUUGUUGGGAAAGAAAAGCAGCAGGUUAAUACCCCGCUGUUCUGACGGUACCCAAAGAAUAAGCACCGGCUAACUUCGUG
RNAcentral lists this ribosomal RNA (491 nucleotides) under uncultured bacterium. RNAcentral's name for it is "partial 16S ribosomal RNA". It matches the Rfam family "Bacterial small subunit ribosomal RNA", at positions 29 to 507 of the family's 1533-position model. The record is from RNAcentral.